RNAcentral lists this ribosomal RNA (367 nucleotides) under uncultured soil bacterium. Its description in RNAcentral is "bacterial SSU rRNA". It matches the Rfam family "Bacterial small subunit ribosomal RNA", at positions 26 to 391 of the family's 1533-position model. The record is from RNAcentral.
AGGACGAACGCUGGCGGCGUGCUUAACACAUGCAAGUCGAGCGGUAAGGCCCUUUCGGGGGUACACGAGCGGCGAACGGGUGAGUAACACGUGAGCAAUCUGCCCUUCACUUCGGGAUAAGCCUCGGAAACGGGGUCUAAUACCGGAUAUGACCGCGCUACGCAUGUGGUGUGGUGGAAAGUUCUGGCGGUGGAGGAUGAGCUCGCGGCCUAUCAGCUUGUUGGUGGGGUAAUGGCCUACCAAGGCUUCGACGGGUAGCCGGCCUGAGAGGGUGACCGGCCACACUGGGACUGAGACACGGCCCAGACUCCUACGGGAGGCAGCAGGUGGGGAAUAGUUGGACAAGUGGGACGAAAGCCUGAUCCAG